AUGUUAAUGAAACAUAGUCUCUUACUCCUGAGGGUGUCGAUGUUUUCUAAAUGGAUGAUGUGCCAGAAUACCCUCAAAUCACAAUACUACUUAUAAAUUUGAUUCUUAUGGGAGGAUUUUUGUCUGGACAACGUCAUGAAGAGCUUGCUGAAAGUUCAUCUAGCAACUAUCCACAGACCAGAAUAUCUAUUUGAAAUACUUUGAAACAAGCCUGAGACACCUGCAUGGCCUGCAGAAAUGAAUGAAAACCAAAUUAGAAGAGUAAGAGUAAGAACGGUAUCACACUGACCACGCUGCCCCUGCCGCUCCCCAAGUUGGCACCACCCCAGGAGAGGAUUUCCCUGGACCUACGGUUUCCACAGGGGAAGAGAGAAGUGGAAGCAGUCACUCAGCUUCCCUAGCAUUUUGAAACGCUUCCCAGGAAGACCCCUCCAGUCUCAAAUCAGAGAAACACUGCGGGUAAGGGCACUGCUCCAUUGCCUAGGGUCAGGUAAAAACGAAGAAGGGAGGCAGAAGUCAUAUUCCCCAGCCUGCGGAACUUGGUGGCACCUCCAUACUCCUGCCAGCUGUACCACCCGACUGGAGAUAUCAGCCAACUUCCCAGCCCAUCCCCAAAGUUGGACCGGUCGCCUUCAGAAGCACGGUGGGAAGUUCAACCCACUUGAGUCCCUAGAUGACUAGUCUGCACGCCCAGCCUCGGAGUCCACCCCACAAACCCCGCUUAGGGAGGGUGAUGUCCGCCUCUGCCCAUUUUGGUGAAGCACAGGAGCUAGACCUGACUGACUGGGGAAUUCAAGCAGCAGCUCCACUCAGCCAAAAUGUCCACUUGCCAAGGCAUUCAGAGAGACGCUGAGGCUAGACCUGCUUCACCAGGGAGGUUAAACAGCCAAUGAACUCAGUCAAAAGCCCACCCCACGACUCCUCCCUUACAGGGAGGCAAUGCUCAAUCGUGCAUUUCUAAAGAGCAUAGCAUCUGGCCCUUCCGUCCUUAGCACUGACUCUGCCUAACUUCGGGGUCCCGCCUGCAGCCCACCUAACUGCAGAUCUCAAAUCGCAGAACUGCUCAGCCAGAAAACACAUCUUUUGACCCACCUGACCACAAACCAUCACAGUACCCAGCCAGGAGCUCCGCCUGGUGGCAGAGCCCAGCCAGUGGCCUCAGCAGGAAGGGGCCCAGAGAGCAAACCCACCCAACAUUAGAAAAAAGGCAACCAGAAAAAUCCACAACAAGCUCUGCCUGCCCUGAGUCAUCAUCAGGCAGCCCUUCCAAAAUCCAAGGCUAUACUAACUAGAGAAGGCCUAUCCCUGCUGAACACCUAUAAAGACCAGAAGAGGGGGCUGUCUGUUAUGACUUUUGAUAUAUAUAUUGACAGAUUUGCUUUGACAUAUUUUUACAAAUUUGUAUAUGCCCUUAAAAAUGUAUGAAAGCUU
Homo sapiens (human) is the source of this 1431-nucleotide long non-coding RNA. RefSeq lists it as uncharacterized. Lineage: Eukaryota; Metazoa; Chordata; Mammalia; Primates; Hominidae. The record is from RefSeq and is a predicted model, not a curated record. The transcript is spliced from 2 exons.